Molecule: transfer RNA, 69 nt
Filed under: Blaesodactylus boivini
Lineage: Eukaryota; Metazoa; Chordata; Lepidosauria; Squamata; Gekkonidae
Description: tRNA-His
Source: RNAcentral
GCCAACAUAGUUUAAACAAAACACUAAGUUGUGGGCUUAGUAAUAAGGAGCUAAGACCCUUUGUGGGCC